This 369-nucleotide ribosomal RNA is filed under the name uncultured bacterium. RNAcentral describes it as "bacterial SSU rRNA". It matches the Rfam family "Bacterial small subunit ribosomal RNA", at positions 420 to 806 of the family's 1533-position model. The record is from RNAcentral.
GGUAUGUAAAGCUCUAUCAGCAGGGAAGAAAAUGACGGUACCUGACUAAGAAGCCCCGGCUAACUACGUGCCAGCAGCCGCGGUAAUACGUAGGGGGCAAGCGUUAUCCGGAUUUACUGGGUGUAAAGGGAGCGUAGACGGCAGCGCAAGUCUGAAGUGAAAGCCCGGGGCUCAACCCCGGAAUGGCUUUGGAAACUGUGCAGCUAGAGUACCGGAGGGGUAAGCGGAAUUCCUAGUGUAGCGGUGAAAUGCGUAGAUAUUAGGAGGAACACCAGUGGCGAAGGCGGCUUACUGGACGGCAACUGACGUUGAGGCUCGAAAGCGUGGGGAGCAAACAGGAUUAGAUACCCUGGUAGUCCACGCGGUAAA